This 351-nucleotide unclassified non-coding RNA is filed under the name Cyperus prolifer. RNAcentral's name for it is "partial external transcribed spacer 1f". Lineage: Eukaryota; Viridiplantae; Streptophyta; Magnoliopsida; Poales; Cyperaceae. The record is from RNAcentral.
UGGCAGGCUCCCUGCACUUAUGUGCGGCCAACUGUCAUGGGGCGGUCUGUUCACUAUUCCUUUGAUUGGCAUUACUGCUGUCUUGGGAUGCUUGCUGCUGGUUGCCUGUAUGGUUCUACCAUUUGAGGUAGUACGAUCGUCAAGCUCGUGUAUGCUUAGCUUGCUUAAUUGAUGUUGCUCAUCAAUGUGCGGCCGAGUUGUUAGCAAAUUUCUUGUGUGUCCAUGCGUUUGCGCCUUGGAGUUGCAUUUAGAUUUUUGCUGGUUCUCACGGAUAUUGUGCCUGUUUGGAGGUCUGCGGGCUUCGAGCUUUGUAGACCUUGUUGGGUUGCCCGUGCACAUAUCAUUGCCUCU